GCGAAUGCUGACAUAAGUAACGAUAAAGCGGGUGAAAAGCCCGCUCGCCGGAAGACCAAGGGUUCCUGUCCAACGUUAAUCGGGGCAGGGUGAGUCGACCCCUAAGGCGAGGCCGAAAGGCGUAGUCGAUGGGAAACGGGUUAAUAUUCCCGUACUUGGUGUUACUGCGAAGGGGGGACGGAGAAGGCUAUGUUGGCCGGGCGACGGUUGUCCCGGUUUAAGCGUGUAGGUGUGUGUUCCAGGUAAAUCCGGUUCACUUUAACACUGAGGCGUGACGACGAGGCACUACGGUGCUGAAGCAACAAAUGCCCUGCUUCCAGGAAAAGCCUCUAAGCAUCAGGUAACAUCAAAUCGUACCCCAAACCGACACAGGUGGUCAGGUAGAGAAUACCAAGGCGCUUGAGAGAACUCGGGUGAAGGAACUAGGCAAAAUGGUGCCGUAACU
RNAcentral lists this ribosomal RNA (445 nucleotides) under Salmonella enterica. RNAcentral describes it as "partial 23S ribosomal RNA". It matches the Rfam family "Bacterial large subunit ribosomal RNA", at positions 1290 to 1735 of the family's 2925-position model. RNAcentral also lists the same sequence under 1 other name. The record is from RNAcentral. Lineage: Bacteria; Pseudomonadati; Pseudomonadota; Gammaproteobacteria; Enterobacterales; Enterobacteriaceae.